GCCGGGGUGGAGGAAGCAGGUAGACUCGAUCGCCUCAAAAGCGAUCGCGCGCAAGCGCGUGCGGGUUCGAAUCCCGCCCCCGGCA
This 85-nucleotide transfer RNA is filed under the name Actinomycetota bacterium. RNAcentral's name for it is "Actinobacteria bacterium (sediment metagenome) tRNA-Leu". It matches the Rfam family "tRNA". Rfam says of the family: Transfer RNA (tRNA) molecules are approximately 80 nucleotides in length. Lineage: Bacteria; Bacillati; Actinomycetota. The record is from RNAcentral.